This 200-nucleotide unclassified non-coding RNA is filed under the name Sordariomycetes sp. Its description in RNAcentral is "partial internal transcribed spacer 2". The record is from RNAcentral. Lineage: Eukaryota; Fungi; Ascomycota; Sordariomycetes.
UUAAGUUCAGCCCGUAGUCCUACCUGAUCUGAGGUCAAGGGUUCAGAAGUUUAGGGUCUCCCAUGCCCCCGGUCGGUCCCGGCGAGACAUCAAGCAGACUCGCACACCGAGACCCAAAGGGGGGCCAGCGACCGAUGCCUUUCAGGCCACGGCCCACACCACCCCCAUGUAGAGGGGGGGUUGGCCGAGGCCCAUGACCA